UCAGCUUUCUGAUGCCUUUCAUCGAACAGUUGAUGCAUCUUCAAACAACAAAACAGCACAAAAAUAAAUAGCAUCAAGGGAAUCAAGGUAAAAUAAAGCAUCAGUGUUGUUCAUACAGGAAACAAGAGUUGAAUUUCGCCUCACAAACAGGUUGUUAAAACCAAUUUUUGUCAAUCGUUUUGUACCUGGUGGUGCGGUAGUGGUUCGACGGCAGUAGCGAUUUUACCGGAAACAGACCUAUAUCGAAGGGAUGUUUGUGAGCAGUUAUUUUGAGGAGGUUUGGAGGGGAGAAUCAAUUUAGGGGGUGUUUGGGAUUGCUUAUUUUAGGUAAGGUAUAACUUUCUGUAUUAAUUUUUGAAAAGUUAAAUGGUGUUUGGGAUUGAAAGUGUAUGGUAGGGAAAAGUCAGUAAGUCACUUUAUUGUGACUUGUUAACUUUUACAAAAAGUCAUAAGAAGUUUGGAAAAGUUAAGCCAAACACCCCGUUAGAUUUAAAAUUAGGUUGGGGAUACGGAUAAAAUUAGAAGGGAACCGUAAAAAAUGAGUAUCGGUAUCAGUGCUGAAAGUCAUCAGUAUGGUAUGGUACGAUAUUGAAGGCAAAUCAAGCCAAAAUACCGAUACCGUAUUGAACCGAAAGUGCCGAUCCCAAAAAUCUCAAAAGUGGGUAUAAAAUUGAUACGGAAAAUGCCUUGGUAUGACAUGGUUCAGUGAUGGUACUGGUUAUCCCUAGGUUGAAUUGGGAGAGGAAAAUUAAAAUCAAACUUAGAUUUUUUAAAAUAAUUUAACAAAUAUACAAAAGAAGAAACAAUUAUUUAAAAAUAAAAUUUCUUUUUUACUUUCUAAAGAAUUAGAAAGACAAUAAAUACUCAUUUGAAAAACUAGUUCUUGGUAUGAAUCAUUUAUAUCCAUAAAUCCUUUAAUGAACUAUUGAGUUGAUCAAGUUUGACUUUAUUUGAUUAAAAUCAUGUGUUAGGUUUAUGAAUUAUGUUCAUGAUUGAUAAGUUUGAGUCUGGUUGAUCAAUAUAAUUUGUAAUGAGUUAUAAUGAGUAAUAUAUGUCUUAAUACAACCAUUUAAUUAAUGUUAAGAGUUAUCAUAGCUCUUAAUGAAGUUGUAAUGGGUAAUGUUUGGUCUAAAGAGUUAUUAUAUCUCAUUCAUGGGACAGUAGGGUCUUAGCAGGUCAUAUUAGUUCUUAAAUAGUUAGAUUAGUUUGUAAUGAGUCAUUUAUGUCUUGAUGUGUCAUUAGGGCCGGUCCGUUAGGCUUAUCAACCUAGGCUAAGUCCUAAGGCCAUCCAAAACAAGGGCCUCCAAAUUUUAUUUUAUUUACAUAAAUUUUAAUUUAUCCACAUUGUCUUUGCACGCUUCAACACACCAAACCUCGUUACUUGCGACGCCUUUUAAAUAACUAAUGUGAAACUGAUUGCGGAUUGGACGAAAUUAGGCAGAAAUUGAGAAAAAUCAUCGCUAUGGGCCCUGACUUUGUAGUUCGCUUAGUGCCUUCAAAAACAUUGGAACGGCCUUGUGUGUCAUAUAGGGUAUAAAGAGUCAUGACAAUUAUUUAAUGGCUCUUGAUAAACCUUAAUAUAUCGUAUUAGGCAUGAAGAGGCAUCACAGCUCUUGAUCAGUGGCGGAUCUAAAAGAAAAAUUUAGGGGUAUCCCAAAUUUUGUUUAUCAUACAUUCAUAUAAUAUAAAUGAAAAAAACACGAUAAUAAAUAGGGCCAUCUCUAAGAAACCUCAAAAUUUCAAGGGACCUAUGCGACUAUAAAAAAUAGACCCCCAAAAUAUAAACUUAUAUGCAAAAAGAAAAAAAAAUAGGAC
This 1815-nucleotide long non-coding RNA is filed under the name Helianthus annuus (common sunflower). RNAcentral's name for it is "hypothetical non coding rna". Lineage: Eukaryota; Viridiplantae; Streptophyta; Magnoliopsida; Asterales; Asteraceae. The record is from RNAcentral.